This 501-nucleotide ribosomal RNA is filed under the name uncultured bacterium. RNAcentral describes it as "partial 16S ribosomal RNA". It matches the Rfam family "Bacterial small subunit ribosomal RNA", at positions 30 to 523 of the family's 1533-position model. The record is from RNAcentral.
AUUGAACGCUGGCGGCAGGCUUAACACAUGCAAGUCGAGCGGGGAUAGGGUGCUUGCACCUGAUUCCUAGCGGCGGACGGGUGAGUAAUGCUUAGGAAUCUGCCUAUUAGUGGGGGACAACAUUCCGAAAGGGAUGCUAAUACCGCAUAGGCCCUACGGGGGAAAGCAGGGGAUCUUCGGACCUUGCGCUAAUAGAUGAGCCUAAGUCGGAUUAGCUAGUUGGUGGGGUAAAGGCCUACCAAGGCGACGAUCUGUAGCGGGUCUGAGAGGAUGAUCCGCCACACUGGGACUGAGACACGGCCCAGACUCCUACGGGAGGCAGCAGUGGGGAAUAUUGGACAAUGGGGGGAACCCUGAUCCAGCCAUGCCGCGUGUGUGAAGAAGGCCUUUUGGUUGUAAACUGCUUUUGUACGGAACGAAACGGUCUGGGUUAAUACCCUGGGCUAAUGACGGUACCGUAAGAAUAAGCACCGGCUAACUACGUGCCAGCAGCCGCCGAAA